This is a long non-coding RNA of Hippocampus zosterae (dwarf seahorse), 6896 nucleotides long. RefSeq lists it as uncharacterized. The transcript has 11 exons. The record is from RefSeq and is a predicted model, not a curated record. NCBI's taxonomy places the organism in Eukaryota, Metazoa, Chordata, Actinopteri, Syngnathiformes, Syngnathidae.
AUUCAUCCUGAUGUGACUCUCAAGUCCCAGUGUGGCUCGUUGUAUUAUCAUAUUAGCAUUCUUCAGCGCUCCGUGUUUUUUAUCGCUAAUGAAGGCUUAAACGCUCUUUGGCGUCUGUGUUCUCAGCGGUCCGCAGGGAGCGCCUGUGUCCCGUCCUGCAUUGAUGCCAUCACGCUCUCAUCUGCAUGCUUGACAGCGCAGACCUUCUUUCAUCCGCCCGCAAUCUCCCUUCCUUUAUCAUCUUCGUCUCUCUCAAUCCGCUUCCGUUCGCCUGCAGACCCCCCCCCCACCCCCCAGCCUCCCUUCGUGUCACCUUCCAUUGCUUCCCAUGCAUGUUUGUCUCUCUUCAUUCUCUUUUUCCAGUCCUUUUUUGCGCAGUCUUUCCUGCUCCCUGUCUUUGGGUCAAUACGACAUGUGUUGAGGAUUCAGUGGUUGUACUGUCUAGAUAAACACCCUGUUAGAAGGAUUAUCCCUGUUGUCCUAACAAUGUAAACCCAGGAUUAGGCCCCACUCUCCAGGGAUGCAAGUGUGUGCGUGUGGGUGGGUGAGUGUGUCUGUGUGUUGCUGCAGAAAGAGUCUCUUCAAGAGAAAGACUAAAGUAGCAUUAUUUCAGCACGCAUGGAUGUACAGCGGAGAAGAAAAUAUACAUUGGCAUUCCAAUUUAGCAUCAUGGCCAUAUAAUAAAGUUCAAAGGCUAAUCAUGUGAUUCACUAAAGCACAUCCAUUCAGCAGCUUUGUGGAGAAUCCCAGCUGAGCCGAGGCCAUGAAUCAGUUUUUGUUGAUGAUGCUGGACUUUGGCCGAUUCGGGUCUGAGCUGCAAAGGAAUGAAGGUGUGGAAGAGAGCGAGGAAGGAGUGAGGCGAAGCUCUUGGAAGAUGGCUAUGGUGGCGAUUGAAAAGGCCAAAGGUGAGCCCCUCUCGCGAUGUCUCCAGUACCGCAGGGGCAGUCACGACCGGGUCAGCGGAGGUUCAGGUGUCAGCGAACGACAGCUGACUGACGAGACCAAGUGGGACUUCUCCCCGAAAACGCUGUCCCGCUUGGACCUUUCAUCCUUCCUUGCCUCCUUCUCGCUCCUCUGUGACCCGGCCCGCCCUCCCUUCAGACUUCUCUUUACUCUCGGUCGAACCACACAACUUCAACCUUGUCAUCCGCUCAUCCUUGCCUCCUUCCUCCCCCGACUCACCUUCUUCUUCACCCUGAAAACUAAACAUUACCACAGGCUUUCACUCAGCGGGUCAGCCUGACUGGGGCAGCUCUCUGUGGGGUUGCACACGCAGGCAAACACACACACAUUUGUAAAUGUUUCAUGACAUCUUUUCAGGGGACACCACUGAAGAAAUUAUACUUUGCUACAAAUUACAUUAAUUGUAAUAGGGUUGUAUUCCCCCUAAAAAAAUACAUGAACGUACAGCCAUUAUCUCUAAACUGAUGGCAACAAAAGUGAGUACACGCCUAAGUGAAAAUGUACAAACUGGGCCCAAUUACCAUUUGUCUGGUGUCUUGGAGCCAUUAGAAAGUGUUCUUGGAUCUGAAUGGAAAGCAGGUGUUUUUAGUGUCAACGGUCUCACACACUCCCAUGCUGGUUAUAGGAAGCUUAGCAUGUAAUGGUAACAAAAAUAUUUCUGCGAUCCAUAGAAAUGACCAAUGCCAAGUCUGUCUAACUGGCGGCUCUCGGAGCGGUACUCGAUGAAUUUCGUCAAACAGACGUUCACUGGUGCUGUUUUUGUAACAUGUAAUACCAGCGUUAACCAGAGGACGGCAUCCAUCGCUCACCAGCGCCUCCAACGCCCGACGCUUACACGGCGAAGAAGAGCGUGUCGUACACGGUGAAGAGGAUCAUGUCGUGGUCGCUAGGACAUGAAUCUCAAAAAGUUCAUUAACAGCACUUUCACCACAGUGUUGAACGUUCGUGUGCAAGGGUUUAAAGUUUGUGUCCUCAAACACACGGAUACAUUUAAUACUUAAUCGCUUUCGGUGGUUUAAUUGGACGCGCGCCCGUGUUUACAGCCUCUCUUUAGAGAGGCGACGCAUCCGGGGCAGUCUUGACUGCCUUCAAUUGACACUUAACACAGCAACCGCAUCCGAUGCAUCUCAUCACUCUCAAACUCCCUCGUCAUGGCUGCGAUGCUGCCCGAGGACCUGAAGACAAGCAUACCAAUGCGCCUGCAGAAGUGGAGUGGAAGCAGUUGUUUUCCUUGGCAGACCAAACCGCUGGGGUCAAAGGCAUGUGACUCAACCAGGAAGUAUCAGGCCGCAUAGACAGGAAGGAACGCCCAGAUUGGUCAGACUGGACAGAUGAGCUCCAGCUGACUCCCGGCCAACUCAGCGGAGCAAGCUAAGAAGUGCAGGUGUCACGUUGUCGUGGUUGUGACUAACCCAAUUGCACUUGGAUCGCAGGGGACACGCCCUCAACGCCGUAAACAGCAUUUAUUUGGACUGUAAUGAAGACUCGAUGGGCUCCGGGCUGUACCCGGCGGCGACGAGGUGACACUGAUGAAUGGCUGAAGGUGCGCUCACUGCAGUCGGGCAGGAGAGAGACAACUGUCAGCCUGCUGUGUGUAUGCAUGUGUUCGCAUCCCAUAAGGUGAUUACAGGGAAAGCGUUUUGAUAGCGCGCUCAUCACCGCCCUUCAGAAGACAAGGACACGCCGAACGAGCCAACUCGAUGCCUCAAGCCCCGAAGCUCGCGAGUCACCUUGUCGAUACCGAAUCCAUACGUGGCUCGUCCCACACCGGACACAGUGUGGCGCAGCACUUUUUGAAGAGCCCGCUAACCCACCCACGCUGGCAUUCUCGACGCUUUCCUGCAGCAAAUCGAAUCCGCGGACCAAUUGAACCUCGGAUGAAUGAAAAUGAUACACGGCAAUGUGAUUAAGGAUUGCACAUCAUGACAUCAGACGUGCAUUCGGAUUGACUGUCAGUCAGCGUUUAAAUUCAACGAUGAAUUUUCUAAUGGUCCUCGUUUGCUUUGAGGUAGAACCGCACCGCAUCAGAGUAAACGGUGAGACGCCUCAAACGGUUGUCGCCUCUACGGCGGGCAAACGAAGUGAGAGGACAGAUAACCCGGUGGUCCUUUUCCGUUACCCUUCCAUCUUCAUCACUCCCUCUCACACACUUUGUUACACUCCUUCACUGUACCUCUUGGGCCCCAUUCCCCCUGUCUUUCGUAGCUGUCUGUCAAUUUUUAGCUACUCCACAAAUCUUUAUCGCAUUCUCUUAAACAGUUCUCUUGGCCCCCCCCCCCCCUGGUUUUUCUUUGUAUGAACGCGUCUGUGCAGUUUCACAAGGCGGAUAUCCCUUGUGAGUGUGCGUUCAUGUCUUUAUAUGGGUGACAAAAGCUCUGCCUACAUUUUUUUGCACCACGGCAGGUUAAUUCGAGCUCAAAGCCCCCAGGACCCUUCCCCCAUCUUAACAAAAUUGUGGGUAAUUAAAGAGCCUCUGGAACCAGGCGUGUAUGUGAGUUGCGUCUAAUUAAGCCCCAGUGAGCUGAGUUAGCCAAUUAGCACAAGGCUCAACAUUGGGCACCAAAGCGUUCCAGCCUCUGCGGAACACGGGAAGUUAUCGUGGCAACGCUCUCAUUUCCUCAAGCAUGAAUCACCCAUCUUAUGAUUGUUACACAAACAGGAGAGGCGGGUGACAGGGUGACACCGACGCCCUCAGUACACGUUUAUGUUGACAUUAUGGAGGAACCUACAACUCCAGUUGAGUCAGAAGCGGGAUUUGAACCCACAACCUCCAUUCGGAGACAAUCGCAAAGCAUCUCAGACUAACUUUUAUCACAGCUUUCUCUCAUAUCACCGGUAGCUCCACCUCUGACUGAAUCUGAUUCCCAUUCAUUUCCGCAGGGCUUUGCCCACUAAAUAAGAUCCUCUUAUCUGUCCUGGAAGAGUGAGACGGCUUGCAUUAGAGACGCUGAGCGAGCGUGAGAGAGAGAUUUGAAUCUAUCCGUUUGUCUCUGCAGGAGGAUGUGUGUGAUGCGGCGUCACGGCCUGAUGCCUUUGGAAGAUAUUGGAGAGAGGAAGAGGAGGGCAUGAUGGGAAGACCAAAAAAAAAAAAUACUAUCCAGAGCUGAGGUCUGUUCCCAUCUCUGACAGCUGUGUCAGCGCAGGAGACGGCAUCGAGGACGCACGACGUGCGCGUACAAUUAUAGGAACACACACGGAGCUGUGGAAGUCUCCAUUUUGCAUCCGGGACAUCAGAGGAUGGUGACAGGCUUUCUCUUCUCUUCUCGGUCUCGCGCCGUGAUUGGAUGGGACACCGAGAGCCACCACUUAGGCAGGGAAACUGACGGCUCUUGACUUUCCGAGAUGGCUUGCGCCGAGUGUGAGAAAAUGGAUUUUGCCUUUUUCCAUCUGCUGCCCACCGUGUGGAACCUUUCCUGGACACCCUGUCAGCACCUUGAGCCUUUCCAGGGAAAACAAGCAACACUUUUGGGGAUCUUCACCCUCAAGCACUCGCACGGUCUUCCUCCAUGAGCAUCGGCAUUUGUCAUAACUGCCGGCGCAACUGAGACUUGACAUUCGGAACCGCAUGGAAAAUCUCACAUCAUAAAUUGGCUGGUAUCAUAUUGUGGCUCCGGGCUCAUAUCAACAAUCUGCAAAACCCAAUCCAUCUCAACAUCUAUAUCGGCGACAUGCCAACAUGUCUAAGUCGUCUUCCAUUUGCCAUCUUUAGUUUCAAGAUUUCAUAUUUAUUUUUUAUUUCAUGCGUGAAUUAAUCUUUUAAGUGCCUGAUUAGGUUGAUUCGCCCGACUUUUGUGGGGUCAGCCUGGAUAGUGUCCAACUCCGUGACAAUGUGAAUGGCAGUCUGUCUCCUUGUCAUGUGACUGGCUGGCAACCAGUCCCGGGAGUAGAUGACGUUUCACUUGACCGCAAUAUUUCAAGGGUCGCAAGUGGCUGCUGUUUGAUGAAAUGUUGAACACACUUAACAUGGACCAGAGGAAGCGAACGAAAAAAAUUUGGACCCAAAUGUGAAUCGUCUCAGUGCGUUAUUACUUGGACAUGACAAAUUAAUGGACGACUAGUUUUGAAAUCAGUCAACCACAAUUGUUAUUGUUUUUUUUUUCUUGUUUAAGUGAGCGUGGAAGGAAACAAAAUUAUUGUGGCACCUCAACGUUAUUUAUGACACAUGUCGUUUCGGUGCAUAUUUUGACAAGGAUCUGGCCCCCGGGCCUCGAGUUUGACUGUUGUACUCUUGAUAUUGAUUUGACCAAAUUUAGUGUGUGUGUCAUGAUGUCUUUACGCAAGUAAAAGCAAAUGCACUCUGUGAAAUAAGGACGUGGAUGCAUCUCAAGAGAGGUGGGGGGGCGCGCGUGCUUAAAAUUUGUGCUUGUGUGAGCACGUCUUAGAUACGUCGCCGGCGCAGGUCUCCCCAUUGCCUCGUAUCGGAGAUCAUUGUGCAUCCAUCAGCAUGCCGUUAAGCAGAGCCCGCUGAGGAUAUGAAAUGGCUCUCGCUUUGAGGGCGCUGUCGCUGAUCAAUGCGUAUAAACAUUUCGCGUCAUAAUCAGCCAUCAAUCGGCACAAUAGCGUGCCGCGAAUACCUUUCCUGGGCCGGGAUGGCGACAUAUGUCUACACGACGCGCAUGAGUCCUUGGUGUGGCAUCUGUGGCGCUUUGGAUGUGUUUGAUGCAAAAUGGAGACGGGCAGGCACGAGAACACGCGUAGUUUGUUUGUCACGCAGUUAAACAAAAACACCCUUUCAACCAUUCGAGCACCAAAAGCAAUGUGCGUGCUCACUGUGUGUGUUGCCCUGGGUUGUGUCUGGGGACGGCUUUAGAAAGUAAACCAGUUUAUCCAAGGUAUCCCAUCUUGAAUUAGCAGCUAAUGACUCUAUUAGCUUUCAUUUUUGCGCCGAGGAGAUUUGCCUGCAUAAAUUAGGCCGCAAUCAUCGGCAAAGUGUCACGGCCAAAGGACAGUUUAUAAAUACAACAGCCGGGCCCUGUCAGCCAGGCCGGCCGCUGAUAUAGACGUCGCCGCAGACUUUGUCGUUGAGCACAACAGACUUGUGCCAGUCACAGAGUGACAGGGGACUGCGGGGGCCCCCGGGGGGAGCUCCCUCGCCGCCGUCCCUGAAAAGGUCAACUUGACGCGGGCACGAAACAUCGACCUGCCCCCCUGUCGGCCCCGCUGAUAAAAAUCAGAUAAACUUAAGACCACGUAUCGAUCGGCGCAGCGCAGCCUUAGGCAAAUGUUGUCCGAGGACCUCCUCCUCCUCGCCUGCGCAUAUGAUUACGCGCAAGCAAAUUCCAAUCAUGCGGCGUUCAAGACGGGAGGGUGGACGGGCAAUUAAACGGCGAGAUGGCUGAAGACGAAGAACGGUUGUGGAAUGAGCGGGUUUAUCGCAGUUUAUGGCAUGUGAUUCACUUUCAUUUUUUUGUGGAUGAAGGUCAAGCAAUUUCUGUGGUGAAGACAAAGCAGUCGCCGAGUGGCGCAAGUGUGCAAAGCGCCGUUGAACAAGCAGCAGAAGAAGGUUGGCUUGGAUGGCCAACGUGAAGUCAGGCCAGCCAAUGAAUUGGACUCUCGACAUGCUGGGAGGAGGAGUGUUAAAGCUCGAGGCAAGGAGGUGCUGAUAAAGUGACAGGAAUGUGACACGAGAUUGGACCGAUGACCGCUGAUAACAUGAGUGAUGGAUGAAUGACAGUGGGCAUGGCAGCUCAUCUUCUCCUAGGCGACAGGGUGACAAAGCGAGAUGUUACAGCGGAGAGACAGCACAACCACUACCCCGGAAGAAAGGAAUAUUUCACACACACACCCUUUUAGCCUCACCUCUGUCCACCUCUUCUGUCUACCUGUCUCCACGCCCCCCCCCACCCUCCCAAAUCACCAUCCCCCUCCAUGUUCCCCGAAAGUGAGCCGUCUCCUUGUCUUCCCCACAGCAUGAGCUGCCCCCCCCCUUCACA